UACGGAGGUGGCUAGCGUUGUUCGGAAUUACUGGGCGUAAAGAGCGCGUAGGCGGCUUACCAAGUUGGGGGUGAAAUCCCGGAGCUCAACUCCGGAACUGCCUUCAAAACUGGUAGGCUCGAGUCCGGAAGAGGGGCGUGGAAUUCCCAGUGUAGAGGUGAAAUUCGUAGAUAUUGGGAAGAACACCGGUGGCGAAGGCGGCUCCCUGGUCCGGUACUGACGCUGAUGCGCGAAAGCGUGGGGAGCAAACAGG
RNAcentral lists this ribosomal RNA (253 nucleotides) under uncultured bacterium. RNAcentral's name for it is "partial 16S ribosomal RNA". It matches the Rfam family "Bacterial small subunit ribosomal RNA", at positions 524 to 776 of the family's 1533-position model. The record is from RNAcentral.